RNAcentral lists this ribosomal RNA (301 nucleotides) under uncultured bacterium. RNAcentral describes it as "partial 16S ribosomal RNA". It matches the Rfam family "Bacterial small subunit ribosomal RNA", at positions 509 to 807 of the family's 1533-position model. The record is from RNAcentral.
CAGCCGCCGCGGUAAAACGGAGGGUGCAAGCGUUAAUCGGAAUUACUGGGCGUAAAGCGCACGCAGGCGGUCUGACAAGUCAGAUGUGAAAUCCCCGGGCUUAACCUGGGAACUGCAUUUGAAACUGUCAGGCUGGAGUCUUGUAGAGGGGGGUGGAAUUCCAGGUGUAGCGGUGAAAUGCGUAGAGAUCUGGAGGAAUACCGGUGGCGAAGGCGGCCCCCUGGACAAAGACUGACGCUCAGGUGCGAAAGCGUGGGGAGCAAACAGGAUUAGAGACCCCUGUAGUCCCUGUCUCUUAUAC